UUAAAAAAUAGAGAUCAGUUUAGAAAUCAACCAAGAACACCCAAAACGCCCAAAAUCUGAUACCAAAUGAUACGGGGUUGCGCGCGGACCAAGAUCGAGUUGCCAAGUCACGAGAAAUUCCUACGAAAACCCUAAACAAUUAGAUCUGAAACGAAACAGAAAAUUAAAAGAUUAGAUUUUUGAAUUUUCAGAUCUGAAAUAAAAUCCCCAAAACAGUAAAGAAUCAAAUUG
This 231-nucleotide long non-coding RNA is filed under the name Gossypium raimondii (Peruvian cotton). RNAcentral describes it as "long non-coding RNA (GRAI_LNC009771)". Lineage: Eukaryota; Viridiplantae; Streptophyta; Magnoliopsida; Malvales; Malvaceae. The record is from RNAcentral.